AACGGCCGCGGUAUUUUGACCGUGCAAGGUAGCAUAAUCAUUAGUCUUUUAAUAGGAGGCUGGAAUGAAGGGUUUAACGAGGCAUUAACUGUCUCAUUUUUAUAUUAGAAUUUAACUUUUAAGUUAAAAGGCUUAAAUUUUGUUGGAAGACGAGAAGACCCUAUAGAGCUUUAUAACUAUAUUUUUUAAUACUUUUAUUUUAUGAUUUGUAUUUAUUUAUUUAAUUAUUUUGUUGGGGUGACAAAAAUAUAUGAUUAACUUUUGUUAUUUUAUAAACAUAAAUUUAUGAUUAUUGGAUCCAGUAUUACUGAUCAUUAGUCUAAGUUACCUUAGGGAUAACAGCGUAAUCUUCCCUCAGAGUUCAUAUUUACGGGAAGGCUUGCGACCUCGAUGUUGGA
Molecule: ribosomal RNA, 398 nt
Filed under: Isosticta robustior
Lineage: Eukaryota; Metazoa; Arthropoda; Insecta; Odonata; Isostictidae
Description: partial 16S ribosomal RNA
Rfam family: Archaeal large subunit ribosomal RNA
Source: RNAcentral